GUCCUCUUAUACGCUCUAUGACUGUUUAAUUUUGGCAACAAUAGCAUUAUGGUCACAAUUUGCUGGUGGGCUAAGUGUAAAUUGACUCGUACAAUACAUAGGGAGUAAGUCCAAAAUGAUUUCAUUAGUUGCAGUGAUUCGAGUCGGUUCCUCAAUUAAUGGAACAAUUGCUCUCCUGCCAGCUAACUGAGCUAAGAAUUAAGAAUAGACACAUACAGCUUUUGUGUGGGAGAAUGGGUUAUGGGGGUGAAGUACUCCUGUUACAAUAAGUGUCACAUUAUAUGUAUAUUUAACCAAACAGACUCUUUAUGUCCUUAUAUUUCAUCCUGCGGGGUAUAUAUAAGGCCCGCUCUGAUAACCCUAGGGGUAAUGGUCCCUAGGGCUGCCCGGGGGAUAAGGGUCCCCAGAGCUGCUCUGGGGGUAAGGGUCCCCAGAGCACAUGCCAGAAGGGUAGCGACCCCCUCUGACCUUAUUAACCUGAACCAAGGGGUAAGGGUCCCUUGGACAGUUCCUAUAACUCGGCCGAUUAUAUUUACAUUGAAUGAGUCUAUGCAUGGGCAUGAAGGUGACCUUUGGGAGCACUUCAACCCCACAAAUACAAUAAAGUGUAUCUGACACUUGAGUGUAUUCCCCAUAGACGAACAAUCCCACUCCCACAACAGCUGUAUUCAUAUAGAGGACAGCUUUUGCCAGAUGAUAGUAAGGCUUGUGCAUGUUUGAGAAUUACCAUCGCUUAUACUACAGCUGGAUAGUCAGGGAGGCCAGGAAAAACCUGCAAUACAGGAAACCUGAAUGGGGCCAAGACAAUUAACCAGCAGCUUCCCCACAAAGCUUCUAUGUUACAACUUCUCAAUAGGAGCGUUGGUAACGCGACAAACAUAGCUCUAUCUUGGCAAUUUUUUUUUUUUUAUUUUAAUUUUUUUUUUAAAAUUCAUUUAUUCUUUCACUCAGUUUUAAGUGUUUUUGAAGAGACCCAAUAUUUGCCGAACUCUUUGUCUAGCCAAAUCGUUUGCUUGGUGAAGUAACUACUAAUUAAUUAAGCAUAGAGGAUUAGAGCGUUUCCAGUUGAGACAUAAAUCUUGGAAUAGAGCCUAUGUAGGCAUAAAACUUUAUUACACUUCCCGAAUGAGAAAGUUUAUUAAUUAAAAUACCGUUUGUCUGUUUUCCGGUCGAGAAAACGAUGGUGAAAUGGCAGUCGCGUUUAAUGCAGUGGACGAUAACAGACAGAACAUAUUUUUGACUUUUUUGUUUAAUAUUGUUGCAGUUUGCUUGAAUUUUUCAACGUAUCAUAAAGGAAAGUAUUCGUAUAAUACAG
Molecule: non-coding RNA, 1315 nt
Organism: Paramuricea clavata
Lineage: Eukaryota; Metazoa; Cnidaria; Anthozoa; Malacalcyonacea; Plexauridae
Source: the annotation of a GenBank genome assembly